This 460-nucleotide ribosomal RNA is filed under the name uncultured bacterium. RNAcentral describes it as "partial 16S ribosomal RNA". It matches the Rfam family "Bacterial small subunit ribosomal RNA", at positions 338 to 795 of the family's 1533-position model. The record is from RNAcentral.
CCUACGGGAGGCUGCAGUGAGGAAUAUUGGUCAAUGGACGAGAGUCUGAACCAGCCAAGUAGCGUGAAGGAUGACUGCCCUAUGGGUUGUAAACUUCUUUUAUAUGGGAAUAACAUGUUCCACGUGUGGGAUUUUGUAUGUACCAUAUGAAUAAGGAUCGGCUAACUCCGUGCCAGCAGCCGCGGUAAUACGGAGGAUCCGAGCGUUAUCCGGAUUUAUUGGGUUUAAAGGGGGCGUAGGUGGAUUGUUAAGUCAGUUGUGAAAGUUUGCGGCUCAACCGUAAAAUUGCAGUUGAAACUGGCAGUCUUGAGUACAGUAGAGGUGGGCGGAAUUCGUGGUGUAGCGGUGAAAUGCUUAGAUAUCACGAAGAACUCCGAUUGCGAAGGCAGUUCACUGGACUGCAACUGACACUGAGGCUCGAAAGUGUGGGUAUCAAACAGGAUUAGAUACCCUUGUAGUC